GAUGAACGCUAGCGGCAGGCCUAAUACAUGCAAGUCGGACGGGAUUUGGGAGCUUGCUCCUAAUGAGAGUGGCGCACGGGUGCGUAACACGUAUGUAACCUACCUUUGUCAGGGGGAUAGCCUCUCGAAAGAGAGAUUAAGACCGCAUAACAUUAUAGAAUAGCAUUAUUUAUAAUCAAAUAUUUAUAGGACAAAGAUGGGCAUGCGGAACAUUAGCUAGNGGUAGGGUAACGGCCUACCAAGGCUACGAUGUUUAGGGGAUCUGAGAGGAUGACCCCCACACUGGUACUGAGACACGGACCAGACUCCUACGGGAGGCAGCAGUAAGGAAUAUUGGUCAAUGGGCGCAAGCCU
This 354-nucleotide ribosomal RNA is filed under the name uncultured bacterium. Its description in RNAcentral is "bacterial SSU rRNA". It matches the Rfam family "Bacterial small subunit ribosomal RNA", at positions 28 to 384 of the family's 1533-position model. The record is from RNAcentral.